Molecule: transfer RNA, 74 nt
Filed under: Planctomycetota bacterium
Lineage: Bacteria; Pseudomonadati; Planctomycetota
Description: tRNA-Gln
Rfam family: tRNA
About the family: Transfer RNA (tRNA) molecules are approximately 80 nucleotides in length. Their secondary structure includes four short double-helical elements and three loops (D, anti-codon, and T loops).
Source: RNAcentral
UACCCCGUGGUGUAACGGUAGCACAAGAGGUUCUGGUCCUCUUAGUCAAGGUUCGAAUCCUUGCGGGGUAACCA